ACCGGGGAUUGCCUUAGUACGGCGAGUGAGCGGCAAAAGCUCAAAUUUGAAAUCUGGCGUUUCGACGUCCGAGUUGUAAUUUGAAGAAGGCGACUUUGUAGCUGGUCCUUGUCUAUGUUCCUUGGAACAGGACGUCAUAGAGGGUGAGAAUCCCGUGUGGCGAGGAUCCCAGUUAUUUGUAAAGUGCUUUCGACGAGUCGAGUUGUUUGGGAAUGCAGCUCUAAGUGGGUGGUAAAUUCCAUCUAAAGCUAAAUAUUGGCGAGAGACCGAUAGCGAACAAGUACAGUGAUGGAAAGAUGAAAAGAACUUUGAAAAGAGAGUGAAAAAGUACGUGAAAUUGUUGAAAGGGAAGGGCAUUUGAUCAGACAUGGCGUUUGCUUCGGCUUUCGCUGGGCCAGCAUCAGUUUUAGCGGUUGGAUAAAUCCUCGGGAAUGUGGCUCUGCUUCGGUAGAGUGUUAUAGCCCGUGGGAAUACAGCCAGCUGGGACUGAGGAUUGCGACUUUUGUCAAGGAUGCUGGCGUAAUGGUUAAAUGCCGCCCGUCUUGAA
This 547-nucleotide ribosomal RNA is filed under the name Kluyveromyces marxianus. Its description in RNAcentral is "partial large subunit ribosomal RNA". It matches the Rfam family "Eukaryotic large subunit ribosomal RNA", at positions 67 to 658 of the family's 3401-position model. The record is from RNAcentral. Lineage: Eukaryota; Fungi; Ascomycota; Saccharomycetes; Saccharomycetales; Saccharomycetaceae.